This 363-nucleotide transfer RNA is filed under the name uncultured Microcystis sp. RNAcentral describes it as "partial 16S-23S ribosomal RNA intergenic spacer". The stretch from base 135 to 208 matches the Rfam family "tRNA". The record is from RNAcentral. Lineage: Bacteria; Bacillati; Cyanobacteriota; Cyanophyceae; Chroococcales; Microcystaceae.
AAGGGAGACCUAAUUCAGGUAGGAGACGAAAAAAAAGUAGUCGCUACCAAGAAUCAAUCCCAAAAGGUCGAAGCGAGGCAAGAUUGGCUUUCAAACUAGGUUCUGGGUUCACACAAGACCUGAAUCAGGAACAAGGGCUAUUAGCUCAGGUGGUUAGAGCGCACCCCUGAUAAGGGUGAGGUCCCUGGUUCGAGUCCAGGAUGGCCCACCUGUACAGGUGGCAAAAAGAAAGAAAAGAAGCGAGGAAUCAGCACCUUAUCUUACUGACAUAGUAAGAGAGAAUGCUGGCUCUGAGUAAAGAGUCCAGAGGAACCUUGAAAACUGCAUAGAGCUAGGUGAAAAAGCCAAAAAAGAAGACCGCAA